Molecule: long non-coding RNA, 475 nt
Organism: Pogonomyrmex barbatus (red harvester ant)
Lineage: Eukaryota; Metazoa; Arthropoda; Insecta; Hymenoptera; Formicidae
Source: RefSeq, a predicted model, not a curated record
AUGGCAGAAAACACAAAAGUUAGUGAAACAAGUAAUAAUAUUGUAUCGCAGCUUUAGCCUAAGUGUUGUGAUGUCACUGAGACGGUGAUUAAAAAUUAUUGCGAGAAGAAUUCAAGAAAGCGCGAAUAUAGUUACGCAAUUAAUGAUGAUGGAAAGGUUUAUUAUUCAUGCGCCGCAACACUUGACAACAAUUUAACAAACCUGAUUUGUAUCUGAUGUCAAACUUUUAAAGAAGAUAGUAGUAGCGGCAGCCGCGAGAGGACAAGUGAAUUUAGCAACACUGUAGCAACAUUUAAGUGUUUUGCAGUUUUAUCCUGAAUAUUAUGAUGUCUUUGUGAUGGCAGUCGAUUUAAAUGGAAAGCUGUUGGGAAGAAAAUUCAGGAAGGUUUAUAACCUUCCCGAGACACCUCCAUGUCUCCUGAUAUACUAGGUCAAUUGGCGAUAUGGAGAAAGAUUUAAUAUUUAUGCAUUGUAA